GACGAACGCUGGCGGCGUGCUUAACACAUGCAAGUCGAACGGAAAGGCCCGGCUUUUGUGGGGUGCUCGAGUGGCGAACGGGGGAGUAACACGUGAGUAACGUGCCCUUGACGUUGGGAUAUCUUCAGGAAACUGGGGCUAAUACGGGAUAGGCGCUCUUGCUGCAUGGUGGGGGUUGGAUGGUUUCGGCGGUUGGUGAUGGACUCGCGGCUUAUCAGCUUGCUGGUGGGGUAGUGGCUUAGCAAGGCUCCGACGGGUAGGCGGCCUGAGAGGGUGGCCGGAGACAUGGGGACUGCGAUACGGCCCAGACGCCUACGGGAGGCAGGCGUGGGGAAUGGUGGACAAUGGGCGGAAGGCUGAUGGAGCAACGCCGGGUGCGGGAUGACGGCCUUCGGGUUGUAACCCGCUUGCGCCUGUGACGGAGCGUGAGUGACGGUAAUGGGUGAAGAAGCACCGGCUAACUACGUG
This 468-nucleotide ribosomal RNA is filed under the name uncultured bacterium. RNAcentral describes it as "partial 16S ribosomal RNA". It matches the Rfam family "Bacterial small subunit ribosomal RNA", at positions 28 to 507 of the family's 1533-position model. The record is from RNAcentral.